RNAcentral lists this ribosomal RNA (910 nucleotides) under Rotylenchus goodeyi. RNAcentral describes it as "SSU rRNA". It matches the Rfam family "Eukaryotic small subunit ribosomal RNA", at positions 50 to 956 of the family's 1831-position model. The record is from RNAcentral. Lineage: Eukaryota; Metazoa; Nematoda; Chromadorea; Rhabditida; Hoplolaimidae.
CAUGCAUGUAUAAGUAUAACCUGCCAGACAGGGAAACUGCGUACGGCUCAUUACACCAGCCUUAAUUUACUUGACCUUGACAACCUACUUGGAUAACUGUGGUAAUUCUAGAGCUAAUACAUGCACCAAAGCUCCGAUCCCUUGCGGAGAGGAGCGCAUUUGUUCGCCACAAAACCAAGCGCCCUCACGGGCGUUCAGUGUUGACUCAGAAUAACUAAGCUGAUCGCACGGUCUUGCACCGGCGACGUGUCUUUCAAGUGUCUGCCUUAUCAACUUUCGAUGGUAGUGUACCUGACUACCAUGGUGAUGACGGGUAACGGAGGAUCAGGGUUCGACUCCGGAGAAGGGGCCUGAGAAAUGGCCACUACGUCUAAGGAUGGCAGCAGGCGCGCAAAUUACCCACUCUCAACGCGAGGAGGUAGUGACGAGAAAUAACGAGACCGUUCUCACAAGAGGCCGGUCAUCGGAAUGGGUACAACACAAACCCUUUAACGAGUAUCUAUGAGAGGGCAAGUCUGGUGCCAGCAGCCGCGGUAAUUCCAGCUCUCAAAAUGCAUAGAAUUAUUGCUGCGGUUAAAAAGCUCGUAGUUGGAUCUGUGCUGGUCGCCCGGUCCACCCUCUGCGGUGCGCACUGGUGCGGCUGGCUUUCCUGUCCGCUUCCUCACCGGCGUUGGCCUUCAUCGGCAGGCGUCGGCGGGCGGACGAGUUUACUUUGAACAAAUCAGAGUGCUUCACACAGGCGUUUCGCUUGAAUGUUCGUGCAUGGAAUAAUAGAAGAGGAUUUCGGUCCGAUUUUAUUGGUUUUGCUGACCGAGAUAAUGGUUAACAGAGACAAACGGGGCCAUUCGUAUUGCUACGUGAGAGGUGAAAUUCUUGGACCGUAGCAAGACGGACUACAGCGAAAGCAUUU